This 254-nucleotide ribosomal RNA is filed under the name uncultured bacterium. RNAcentral describes it as "partial 16S ribosomal RNA". It matches the Rfam family "Bacterial small subunit ribosomal RNA", at positions 524 to 776 of the family's 1533-position model. The record is from RNAcentral.
UACGUAGGGACCAAGCGUUGUCCGGAAUUAUUGGGCGUAAAGAGCUCGUAGGCGGUGUGUCGCGUCGGCCGUGAAAACCUGCAGCUUAACUGUGGGCGUGCGGUCGAUACGGGCAUCACUGGAGUUCGGCAGGGGAGACUGGAAUUCCUGGUGUAGCGGUGAAAUGCGCAGAUAUCAGGAGGAACACCGGUGGCGAAGGCGGGUCUCUGGGCCGAUACUGACGCUGAGGAGCGAAAGCGUGGGGAGCGAACAGG